RNAcentral lists this long non-coding RNA (25601 nucleotides) under Gossypium barbadense (sea-island cotton). RNAcentral describes it as "long non-coding RNA (GBAR_LNC023120)". The record is from RNAcentral. Lineage: Eukaryota; Viridiplantae; Streptophyta; Magnoliopsida; Malvales; Malvaceae.
GUAGUUAUGGUGUUUUCCUUUUGUAAUAUCUUCUCUUACAACCCAAAGGAAUGGUCUUUCGGUGAUUUCAAGGCCCAAAGCUAACUCUUGAAACUGGAUUUGGUCAAAAACUGUGAAACUACCAAAUGCGACAUAUAUGACUGAACCAGGUGACUGUUGAUCGAGCCACUGCAAACAAGUUGGAUCCUCAAGCCAAAAAUUCCCCGACAAGUUUCCGAGCCGAUUGGUGGCUAAAAAUGGGCCUAUGGGUAAGGCUUUGGGAACUAAGUUGAACCCUUGAAGCUCUAAUUCCAAACUUGAGUUGCAAAGUACCCAGUCUGUUGUUUCAACAACUUUGUACUUCCUAAGUUGAAAAUCAAACAUAAAUUUUGGGGUUGAAGGAGAGUCAUCAAUGUUAAGCCAUACCAAAUUCAUUGGGUGUAUAGAAAGCGUCAUUGGUGACAACUGAAUCAUCUUAUGUUUCAUGAGUGGAGUGCCUGCAAAACAGAUUUAAAUAAUUGAAGAUAACGUUGUUGAAAGUGUUUUUUAAGCUAUAAGUAAUGUUAAACUGGCAGUUUCAAAAGUAAGAAAAUGCUUUUGAAUCCUUGGAAAAAACAGUUUUCAAGCAAGUCACAUUUUUAACCAUUAUUUAUAAUUUAAUGUGUUUUAUGUACUAAUUAUAUAGGAUAUACAAUUAUUUUUCUAUUGAAACUUAUUUUAAAUAUAUACUAUUAUAUAGUUAAUUUUUUAUAGUUAUAUUUUAAUGAUAUUUAAAAUAUAGAUUAUAUAUUUAAAUUAAAUUUUAUAAAUAAUUAAUAUUAAUUGCUUACAAAUAUUUAAAAUUUAUAUUGCAUAUAUCAAAAUAUUAAUAAUGAGUUAUGAUAAAAAAAUUUAUAUUUUUAUUUUAAUAUCAUAAUAAUGAGUUUUAAUAUUAUUCAAAUGCAUAUUUUUAUUUCACCACAUCAUGUUUAAAAUAAACGUAUUAUUUCUUAAAAAUAUUUGUUAAUAAUAAUACUAAACAGUUAAAUUAAAGGUUUAAAAAUAUUUUUAAUUCAAAAGUUACGAGAAAUUAGCCUAAGUCAAAUCAAAUUAGAUCUCACACGAGAAAAAAAACAUAUAUUUUCUCUUAUUCAUAGGUACUGCACUGCUAAGUAGUUAAAGCAAAACAGGGUACGUCUUACCAUUUUCAUCUAUCAGUCCAUCAUCAAUAAGUUUGGGGACCCUAAGCAACACCGCCAGUUGAAGCACCGCAGUCGGCCAAAAGCCCACCGUAGGAAUCCCCAACUCCGCCGCAACAUCAAGAGCCAACCCCAUGCUAAUAUCAGCUAAAACACAUGAAAUCUUAUCAUCAUCUGAUCCAUUAACCUUAUGAAUGAGCUCAUUGAGUUGAGUAGGCAUAACCUGGCAUAAACUUUCAGUUAACUUCCCUAACUGAUUCCUAUCUUCCCCAUCUUCUAGUCCAUCGGGGACUGAAAGUAGAUGAAGUAAGCCAUUUUCAUCCACCUUCUCGCCGAAUGCAUCCAAGACCCUCUUGUGAUUAAACACUGUGUUAACAAAGCUGAUUUUGAUGCCUUGUUUGGCUAAGUUUUGGGAGAGUUCCAUGAGAGGAAUAACAUGGCCUUGGGCUGGAUAAGGGAUUACCACAACGUGUGGUUUCCCCAUUUCCGUUUGUGCUUUUGGAGAAUUGAGGGCUCACACUUUGAUUAUUUAUAGCAACCAUUUCGGGCCAAUUUACGUUUCCAAUGCCAUCCUAUCUUCUAAAGAAAAUAAAAAUAUAAUAAUAACGUGGUGUCACGUGAUUUAAUUAUGGUGCAUCUUCUGUCUUGUAAUCUCGAUUUUUCAUUCUCCCACUACAACAAAAUCAAGCUUACGAGCACACCUUUUUUUUUACUUAGUAUUCAUUACUAAUAGCUACUAAAAAUGAUUUUAAUUGUAUUUUUUAAUUUUUUGGUCAUUUACCUUUAUUUUUUAAUCUUUUUUUUAACAAUUUUAAUGAAAGUGAAGUUAAAAUAAUUAACGGGAAUAAUGUGAAAUUUCAUAUGCGAAAUAUUUUUAAUGAGAUGUAAUUUAUUACUUAGAUAAUUCAAUAAGAUAGUUGAAGGUGAAAUAAAAAUACAUUAAAUUAAAAAAUAACUCUUAAUUUAAAGAAAAUAAUGUAAUUAUCUAAAAAUAUAUUACUCAGUAGAAAAUUUUCUCAAUAAACAAACAUAUGAAAGAUUGAAACCUUAAAUUUAUUCAUUAAAUCUCGUGAAUUAAUUAAUUAAAUAUGUUAAAAUGUAGUUGAAAAUAAAUCAAAGGUUGAUGGAAAAAAAAACUCAAAAAUACAAUUAGGGCCAUUUUGACAAAACAUAUAAAUAUUAGUGACCAAAUUUAUCAUUAAGCCUUACUCAUAUAACGUGCCAUACAUAUAUUUAACAUAUAUUGUAUUAUAUUAUAGUAUAAAAAUUAAUAAAUCUUCGAAUUAUUUAUAUAUGUAACAUAUAUUAUAAUAUGAAUUGUUAAUAUGAAACUACCUUACACAUGAUUUGCUUUGUUAUAUUAUAUAAUGAUAUAUUAUAUUACGAAGAAUAAAAAUUACAUUAUAUUUAUUACUUAUAAUUAAUUAUAUGCAUAUAAAUACUAUAAGCAUGAUAACAUAAUAUGAAUUAUUAAUACUUUGACUUUAUUAUAAUUAUAUUCAUCUAAUUAUUAGUGUGUUUUUUUUGUUACUUAACUAUGAAAAGUUACAAAAUGGUUACUCAAAAUUUCAACUUUUUUUCUUUUUUGGGCACCCAAUUAUUAAUUGAAAUUUUCUUUUAUGAUCACCGGCCAUUAAAUUAGUAAUCGAAAAAUAACUUAGCAGUUUUUAAAAUUGGCAUAAUAGUAACAUUAACCUUCAACAUUUAUACAUUGUGUUAAUUUAGUCUUGAUUCUAAAAAAAAAAAUUAACCCUCGACAUUUGCACAUCAUAUAAAUUGGUUUUUUUUAAAUUUUACUUUUUAUUUAUAAUGUUGAUGGUUAAUUUUAAAAGAAUAAGAAAAGUUAAAAAUGAUUAUGUUGAAUUUUCAAAUGUUUCCUUUUUGAUAUAUUUCCUAUCAAAUUUACUUGAUAGAUUUGUUUUUUCUUUUAGCUCUUUAGGUGGAAGGGAAACAAAAAAAAAGGCAAAAAAAGAAAAGAAAAGAGGAGAGAUCAAAUUACACAAUAUGUAAAUUUUGAGGGUUAAUCUUUGUUUAUAAUUAAGACUAAAUUGACACAAGUUAUAAAUGUUGAAGGUUAAAGCUAUUAUUAUGUCAAUUUUAAAAGCUAUCAUGUUAAUUUUCUAUCAAUCAUUUACGACUGUUGACCAUAAAGGAAAAACUCAAAUAGUUAAGUGAUAAUUUUGUAACUUUUCUUUCAUAGUUAAGAGCCAAAAAAAACUUACCUAUAGUCAGUGGCGGAUCUUUGGACUAAGUUUUGAGAUUAUUAAAAUUUUCAAAAAUUUUAAUGAGAUUUUUUUAAAAAUUAACGGUUUAAUUAAAAUUUUUAAAAUUUUUGUGAAAUUAAUGAGAAUUUUUAAAUGUUUUAAGUGGGCUUUUUAAAAUAAAUUUCAAAAAAAAUUAAAAAAUAUAAUGAGAAUUUUUUAAAAUUUGGGGAGCUUACUUUUUUUUACUUUAAAAGAGAAAUAAAAUUUUAAAAAAUAAAUAAUAAUUUCUAAAAUUUUAAGAGUGCCUGUAAUUGUCCGAUUUUAGGCCUAGUCGGAACAGUGGUUUCGGUACCACAAAUCUGACGAGAAAAAAAAAUGUAAUGGCCUGAAUUUUCAGAGGUGUCGGAACGGUGAUUCGAGAUCACUAAAUUCGACAAAUGGGUAGAAAAUAUUAUUAAUUUAGUAAGUAUAAGUUAAAUGUGAAGUUAGGAAAAUUUUUGAAAUAGUGAAUAGUGCACUAGAAAUAAAUAUUAAAAUAAUUAGAAUCGAAAUGAGGUAUCAAGACCUCGGGGAUUUUAAACUGAGCCAUAAAUAUUUUUAUAAAUAUUUAUGGAGUGUUAAAAAGUUAGUAUUAAAGUUUCGGUAAGAAAUUUUAAAGUUCCGAUAAUUAAUUGAACAAAAAAGACUAAAUUGUAACAAAUGCAAAAUUUUGGGAAAUGAUUAAAUAGCUUAAAUGAUAAAAGGAAGAGGGCUUAAAAGGCAAAUAGACCCAAGGUCUAUUUGGGCUGGACGGCAGAGGCAUGAAAUCAGCAAGAAAGUAAGGAGAAUUAAGGGCAAAAUUGCAAAAUUGCAAAAUUUGCUUAAUAAAGUUAGGACCCAAGUGGAAUUAUCUAGAUUUCUCUUUAUUUUUCUGAAUUCUCAUCAGCAAAAACACCAUGGAAGGGCUUCUUCAAGCUGGUUCUUCAUAUUUUUACUACAAGUAAGUUCAAUUCUUUACUAUUUCUUGAAAUUUUUGUAUUUUUAUGACUUUUACAACUAGGCCCACUUGUUAAAUUCAUUAGUUUUUGAUUUUAUGAAAGAAGUUGAAAGUUGAUAUGAAUAUGUGCUGGAAUUAUAUGAUGAUUUAUCAUGAAAUUAGAGCUUUAAAUUGUUCAUAUGCUGAUUUUAUUGAAAGAAUUGAAUAGAAAGUGAAUGUUUGGGACCUAAUAGUAAAAGAGUUUGAAGAUAGAGUUAUAUGUGGAAAUUCUGGAUUUAAAUAGUUGAGUAACAACUUAUAAUGUCUAGGUGAAGUAUUAAUUGAGAAAAUUAGAUUAAUUGAGGGGUUAAUUGAGAAAGGACCGAAUUGUAUAAACUGUGAAAUUUGGGGCAAAAUGGAAAUCAACAUUUUGCACUAAAGCAGUUUUGGACAGUAGUAGUGUAACUUUGAAAAAUCACCAAAAAUUGUAGAGAUUGAAUUAGAGGAUUAAUAAAAUAUGAAACUAAAGCUUAUUGAGUCUAGUUUCUUAUAAAAGAAAUGGUGUGAGCAAUGGAAUUGUAAAUCAUGAGAUAUAAUAGAUUUUGUGAGACAAGGUCAGAAUGAAUUCGGGUUCCCCUGUUCUGACUUUGGAAAAUCAUUAAAAAUCGUACAAAAAUUAUUAUGAGUUAUAAUUUAUAUGGUUAGUGAUACGACCCUGCCCUGGAAACAUUUCUUGGCUCGACUCACGAGCGAGGCUCGUUAUUCUCACAAGCUUGUCCCAGCUCAAUUUGGGCGGAUUCUAGCUUAUGGAGCUAGAAUGCAAUUUAUUAAGUUUGCAUUUAGAUGAUGUAAUAAAUAAGUUGCUGAUUAGUUAAUUAAAUAAGUUAAUUAAUUUGUUUAAAAAUCUGGACAUUUUUAUUUUAAUGUGUCUUAGUUUAUUACCUAUUAAAUAGAUGUCUAAUAGUUAAUUAAGUGUGUCUAAAUUUAAGACAAAUUUAAUUCAUGUUGUCAAUUAAUUUUUCCAGACGAAUUUAAUGUGCAGGAUAUUGUGUACUUUGGACGAAUUUAAUGCUGUUAAUUAAUGUGUUUUGCUGCUGUUGUUUAAUGCUGUUGUUGUUUAAAUACAGAAUGUUAAACAUGUCAUGGUUCAGCCGAAUUAAUGUGUGAGAUUUAAGCUAAGUAAAUUUGUUGAAUUUGCUAGGACAAUGUACAUGGACGGCAAAGAAGAGGUGGACAACAUCAUGCAUAAUUUGUGGAACAAAUUAAGGAAGCAUUUGACCAACAUCAUGCAUAAUUCAUGGAAGAAUUUGAGGAAGCAUUUGACCAACAUCAUGCAUAAUUCAUGGAAGAAUUUGAGGAAGCAUUUGGCCAACAUCAUGCAUAAUUCAUGGAAGAAUUUGAGGAAGCAUUUGACCAACAUCAUGCAUAAUUCAUGGAAGAAUUUAAGAAAGCAUUUGGCCAACAUCAUGCAUAAUUUAAGGAACAAAUUGAGGAAGCACCACGGCCGAAUUUGGCUUCCAAUUUUACCCAUUCGGCUACCCUUUUGUUUUGCCUAUAAAUAUGUGUUAAAUUUCAUUGUAAGGGGAGAAGAACCUUGAAUUAAUGUUUUUACAUUUUGUGAGAUUGUUUACAACUCUCAUUGUUCUCCAAAGACUCGUUUGACUUAUCAAGUAACCCUUGUGGCGUCAACCCAUUCUUCUUAUCCGAACUUAUCACUUUGCAUCCAAAGUGUGGCGUUCAAGUUAUACCGAGGUUCCUAUCAUCUUUGAUAGUGGGUUAAGGUUCCAUUUUAUUCGUUUUCCAUCCAUACAACAUUUAACCUUUCCUAAGUAUUCGUAUAAGUCCCGGGUUAACACACUUAUAUUGUGUUAGUUCAACUUGAAUACUUGGUUUUCAUUCACCUAUCAUCCUCAAUACACUUCAUAACCCCUUUUGAACUAAAUUUGAGCCUUUAUCCCUUCUUUCUUAACCUAUCUUCGACAAACCUUGAUAUUACUCCAAUUCACGAUCGGGUACAUCAACGACUCGACUCUCAUCACCGAGGCCGGGGCGUAUCAUCUGGUAUCAGAGCUAGCCGAAUCGGAGUAAGAAUCAUCAUCUUUGAUAUUAUGGUUUUGUAAAAAAAAAAAAGAGUCUGGAAACCCUUCAACAAUUUUUUUUGAAUCAUAAUCUACACUCCUUUAUACCCCUUUGAGUGAAUUUUCACGUUUUCAAAAAAAAAAAUUAUCCAAUUUAUUAUUUUUUCUUUCUUCUUUUGUAUUCGGUAUUAAAAAAAGAGAAAUUCAAAAAAAAAAUUCGGAAUUAAAAAAAAAGUGAUUGAAAUUCAUUUUAAGUUUUGUUUGAUAGCCUACCAUUUCCGACAUCAUUGCCCAUCAAGCCAACUCAAUUUUCUAAGCCGACGACAAACGGUAUUGAUUCGUCUAUCUAGUUUGUGGAGAACUUCGAGAGGCGAAAAUCGAGUGGAAAAAGGCACGAGUGGUGAGUACAUUAGAGCGAGCAAAAGCCAUUAAACAAGUGUAAACACGAGUGGAGUGUUAUCCAAUUUUCUUUGUGAGUGAAACGUGAGAUUUUUUUGUGGUGAGGUAUUUACUUUCUAUUUUAUUUUAAACAUUUUUUUAGCAAAAAAAAAUCAUGUCACAAGAAUUUUCUGAAUCAGAUUUCCAAUAUUUGAAGCAAGAGAUACGUAGAAUGGUGAAAUCAAAUUUUGAUAAAUUGCAUGAUCGAUUGGAUCGAGUGGAGGAAAGAGCCAGACGAAAACAAAAUCUACCAAAUCGAGAAAUGGAGUCGAGAUCAUUGCGGCGAUACGCGUCCAAAGACUACUCGUUAAGAGAUUCUUAUCGGGAUUCCUAUUCGUCAAGGAAUUCAAGACGCGACAGCCUAGAGCUUGCAACUUCUCGACAUGACAAACGAGAGAGGACGAGUUAUUCAUCGUAUGAUUCAAAGAAUUCCUUCCCGGAGGAUUGUUCCCGAAGAAAUGGACGAGAAGCCUAUGAAAAUAUUUUCUCUUCCUUUGGGGCAAAUGAUUAUAUUUUUGAUUCUUUCGUGUCGACUGCACAUUGUAAUGAAAUCGAAAAAGUGAGAGAAAAAGAAAAUGAAGAGAAAGAAUUCGAAAAAGAAAUUGAGAUUGUACAAGAGUGCGAGCAAGAAAAAGAAAAUGAAAGAAAUGAAAAAGAGAUUGAAAAAGAAAAAGAAAUCAAAAAAGAGAGUGAGGUCGAAAAUAAAGUUGAAAACGAGAGAGGAAAUGAAAAGAGAAAAAAAGAAGUUGAGAUUAAAAAAGAAACGAGCGAAAAAGAGACAAAUGAACUAGAAAAAGUGAGGAGCAUUUCAACUAAUCCAUAUGAAACUUGUUCUUGUUCUGUUUCUGCUUUUCAGGUAUCCAAAAGGCCGAGUGACGAUAAUUUACAACUCCAAUACCUUUCCAAGGAGAGAAGGUUCACCUUGGUUGAAAAAGGUAACGUUCUCAACUAUCUUAGUUCGCCUAUGCCAAAAGAGGAGCGAGGUAUGAGUUUUGAAAUUCUUAAAGCACCUCUGUUUUAUUCGAUUGUUGAUGGAAACCUUGUUGAUGAAUUGUCCUUUAGAAGUGAUCUGAACUUUGAUGUGGUUACUUGCCAUCCUUUGAUUGAUGAUAAUACAUUUGCGCGGAAUGAUGGCAAGAAGAAUAACGCUUUUGGAAAUUGCGAUGCUGAUGAGUUUGUUAGUAGAAUAAUAAUUAUUCGGCAUUUGCAAGAUAAAAAGACAUAUAAGCCAUUCCAUCGGCUUGAUUUGGGUAAAAAUAUGCACUCAUUGAUCUUUUGUGAGAAACUACUUUGUAUAAACAAGAAUGUGCGUAUGAGAUUUGAGACGUAUGAAUGCUUGAAAAAUGCAUGUCUUUGAUUUGUUUGUUUGAUAUGACGAUGACAUGUAAAAUGGUUAGUGCACUUAAAGUUGAAGAUGGUGCCUCAAAUCUGCUUUGUUAUCCAAAUUCUGUAUUUUUGAGCAAAAUUGACUGACUGAAAUUUAGAUUACAUGAUCAUUUGGAUGAGUUCUCGAUGUAUUUUGAUUAUAAUUCCAAUUUGAUUAUGAUGCAUGCUCUAUUGUCGAGUAUGGAGAUCCAUUUUGAAAAGGUUAAUUCAAGCAAGGAAUUUCGACUACUCUACAUUGCCGAGGAGAGAAGGUUUGUGUUGACCGAACAAGGUAAAACUGAUCUUUGUUUUCCUACUUUUAAAGGUAAGCCUCAUGAACUUUUUGAAACAUCGUUGUACUCUUUAGGUGGUGAUAAAGAUAGUGUUGUUGAUUUGACUCGUUAUUCACAUGCUGGUUAUGACUUGUGGAAACAAUUUGAGACAUUUGAAUGCCUUAGAACAUGUUCAUUUUUGUUUCGAAUAAUUGACGAGGCAUUAGCGAGUAAAUUAAUUUGUUUGCAUGAUUGUCAACAUGUUGCUUUGAAUCUGUCCACUCGCAUGGAAUUUUCUUGUUCUAUUCUGCUUGCAUAUGGAUUACAAAUUUAUCUGAAACACUUUUUGCUAAUUCAUGGUUAUUCCUUUCAGUUGUUCCAAUUCCAAUCCGUCCCAUUCGACCGAGGAAAGCUGAGUAAAAGUUGCUGUGUUCGAGUGAACCAAUGGCUCGACUUGAGGACAAGUCGUUCUAAAGAAGGGGGGAUGAUACGACCCUGCCAUGGAAACAUUUCUUGGCUCAACUCACGAGCGAGGCUCGUUAUUCUCACAAGCUCGUCCCAGCUCAAUUUGGGCGGAUUCUAGCUUAUGGAGCUAGAAUGCAAUUUAUUAAGUUUGCAUUUAGAUGAUGGAAUAAAUAAGUUGCUGAUUAGUUAAUUAAAUAAGUUAAUUAAUUUGUUUAAAAAUCUGGACAUUUUUAUUUUAAUGUGUCUUAGUUUAUUACCUAUUAAAUAGAUGUCUAAUAGUUAAUUAAGUGUGUCUAAAUUUAAGACAAAUUUAAUUCAUGUUGUCAAUUAAUUUUUCCAGACGAAUUUAAUGUGCAGGAUAUUGUGUACUUUGGACGAAUUUAAUGCUAUUAAUUAAUGUGUUUUGCUGCUGUUGUUUAAAUGCAGAAUGUUAAACAUGUCAUGGUUCAGCCGAAUUAAUGUGUGAGAUUUAAGCUAAGUAAAUUUGUUGAAUUUGCUAGGACAAUGUACAUGGACGGCAAAGAAGAGGUGGACAACAUCAUGCAUAAUUUGUGGAACAAAUUAAGGAAGCAUUUGACCAACAUCAUGCAUAAUUCAUGGAAGAAUUUGAAGAAGCAUUUGACCAACAUCAUGCAUAAUUCAUGGAAGAAUUUGAGGAAGCAUUUGGCCAACAUCAUGCAUAAUUCAUGGAAGAAUUUGAGGAAGCAUUUGACCAACAUCAUGCAUAAUUCAUGGAAGAAUUUAAGGAAGCAUUUGGCCAACAUCAUGCAUAAUUUAAGGAACAAAUUGAGGAAGCACCAUGGCCGGAUUUGGCUUCCAAUUUUACCCAUUCGGCUACCCUUUUGUUUUGCCUAUAAAUAUGUGUUAAAUUUCAUUGUAAGGGGAGAAGAACCUUGAAUUAAUGUUUUUACAUUUUGUGAGAUUGUUUACAACUCUCAUUGUUCUCCAAAGACUCGUUUGACUUAUCAAGUAACCCUUGUGGCGUCAACCCAUUCUUCUUAUCCGAACUUAUCACUUUGCAUCCAAAGUGUGGCGUUCAAGUUAUACCGAGGUUCCUAUCAUCUUUGAUAGUGGGUCAAGGUUCCAUUUUAUUCGUUUUCCAUCCAUACAACAUUUAACCUUUCCUAAGUAUUCGUAUAAGUCCCGGGUUAACACACUUAUAUUGUGUUGGUUCAACUUGAAUACUUGGUUUUCAUUCACCUAUCAUCCUCAAUACACUUCAUAACCCCUUUUGAACUAAAUUUGAGCCUUUAUCCCUUCUUUCUUAACCUAUCUUCGACAAACCUUGAUAUUACUCCAAUUCACGAUCGGGUACAUCAACGACUCGACUCUCAUCACCGAGGCCGGGGCGUAUCAUCUGGUAUCAGAGCUAGCCGAAUCGGAGUAAGAAUCAUCAUCUUUGAUAUUAUGGUUUUGUAAAAAAAAAGAGUCUGGAAACCCUUCAACAAUUUUUUUGAAUCAUAAUCUACACUCCUUUAUACCCCUUUGAGUGAAUUUUCACGUUUUCAAAAAAAAAAUUAUCCAAUUUAUUAUUUUUUCUUUCUUCUUUUGUAUUCGGUAUUAAAAAAAAAGAGAAAUUCAAAAAAAAAAUUCGAAAUUAAAAAAAAAGUGAUUGAAAUUCAUUUGAAGUUUUGUUUGAUAGCCUACCAUUUCCGACAUCAUUGCCCAUCAAGCCAACUCAAUUUUCUAAGCCGACGACAAACGGUAUUGAUUCGUCUAUCUAGUUUGUGGAGAACUUCGAGAGGCGAAAAUCGAGUGGAAAAAGGCACGAGUGGUGAGUACAUUAGAGCGAGCAAAAGCCAUUAAACAAGUGUAAACACGAGUGGAGUGUUAUCCAAUUUUCUUUGUGAGUGAAAUGUGAGAUUUUUUUUGUGGUGAGGUAUUUACUUUCUAUUUUAUUUUAAUCAUUUUUUUAGCAAAAAAAAAUCAUGUCACAAGAAUUUUCCGAAUCAGAUUUCCAAUAUUUGAAGCAAGAGAUACGUAGAAUGGUGAAAUCAAAUUUUGAUAAAUUGCAUGAUCGAUUGGAUCGAGUGGAGGAAAGAGCCAGACGAAAACAAAAUCUACCAAAUCAAGAAAUGGAGUCGAGAUCAUUGCGGCGAUACGCGUCCAAAGACUACUCGUUAAGAGAUUCUUAUCGGGAUUCCUAUUCGUCAAGGAAUUCAAGACGCGACAGCCUAGAGCUUGCAACUUCUCGACAUGACAAACGAGAGAGGACGAGUUAUUCAUCGUAUGAUUCAAAGAAGUCCUUCCCGGAGGAUUGUUCCCGAAGAAAUGGACGAGAAGCCUAUGAAAAUAUUUUCUCUUCCUUUGGGGCAAAUGGUUAUAUUUUUGAUUCUUUCGUGUCGACUGCACAUUGUAAUGAAAUCGAAAAAGUGAGAGAAAAAGAAAAUGAAGAGAAAGAAUUCGAAAAAGAAAUUGAGAUUGUACAAGAGUGCGAGCAAGAAAAAGAAAAUGAAAGAAAUGAAAAAGAGAUUGAAAAAGAAAAAGAAAUCAAAAAAGAGAGUGAGGUCGAAAAUAAAAUUGAAAACGAGAGAGGAAAUGAAAAGAGAAAAAAAGAAGUUGAGAUUAAAAAAGAAACGAGCGAAAAAGAGACAAAUGAACUAGAAAAAGUGAGGAGCAUUUCAACUAAUCCAUAUGAAACUUGUUCUUGUUCUGUUUCUGCUUUUCAGGUAUCCAAAAGGCCGAGUGAUGAUAAUUUACAACUCCAAUACCUUUCCAAGGAGAGAAGGUUCACCUUGGUUGAAAAAGGUAACGUUCUCAACUAUCUUAGUUCGCCUAUGCCAAAAGAGGAGCGAGGUAUGAGUUUUGAAAUUCUUAAAGCACCUCUGUUUUAUUCGAUUGUUGAUGGAAACCUUGUUGAUGAAUUGUCCUUUAGAAGUGAUCUGAACUUUGAUGUGGUUACUUGCCAUCCUUUGAUUGAUGAUAAUACAUUUGCGCGGAAUGAUGGCAAGAAGAAUAACGCUUUUGGAAAUUGCGAUGCUGAUGAGUUUGUUAGUAGAAUAAUAAUUAUUCGGCAUUUGCAAGAUAAAAAGACAUAUAAGCCAUUCCAUCGGCUUGAUUUGGGUAAAAAUAUGCACUCAUUGAUCUUUUGUGAGAAACUACUUUGUAUAAACAAGAAUGUGCGUAUGAGAUUUGAGACGUAUGAAUGCUUGAAAAAUGCAUGUCUUUGAUUUGUUUGUUUGAUAUGACGAUGACAUGUAAAAUGGUUAGUGCGCUUAAAGUUGAAGAUGGUGCCUCAAAUCUGCUUUGUUAUCCAAAUUCUGCAUUUUUGAGCAAAAUUGACUGACUGAAAUUUAGAUUACAUGAUCAUUUGGAUGAGUUCUCGAUGUAUUUUGAUUAUAAUUCCAAUUUGAUUAUGAUGCAUGCUCUAUUGUCGAGUAUGGAGAUCCAUUUUGAAAAGGUUAAUUCAAGCAAGGAAUUUCGACUACUCUACAUUGCCGAGGAGAGAAUGUUUGUGUUGACCGAACAAGGUAAAACUGAUCUUUGUUUUCCUACUUUUAAAGGUAAGCCUCAUGAACUUUUUGAAACAUCGUUGUACUCUUUAGGUGGUGAUAAAGAUAGUGUUGUUGAUUUGACUCGUUAUUCACAUGCUGGUUAUGACUUGUGGAAACAAUUUGAGACAUUUGAAUGCCUUAGAACAUGUUCAUUUUUGUUUCGAAUAAUUGACGAGGCAUUAGCGAGUAAAUUAAUUUGUUUGCAUGAUUGUCAACAUGUUGCUUUGAAUCUGUCCACUCGCAUGGAAUUUUCUUGUUCUAUUCUGCUUGCAUAUGGAUUACAAAUUUAUCUGAAACACUUUUUGCUAAUUCAUGGUUAUUCCUUUCAGUUGUUCCAAUUCCAAUCCGUCCCAUUCGACCGAGGAAAGCUGAGUAAAAGUUGCUGUGUUCGAGUGAACCAAUGGCUCGACUUGAGGACAAGUCGUUCUAAAGAAGGGGGGAUGAUACGACCCUGCCCUGGAAACAUUUCUUGGCUCAACUCACGAGCGAGGCUCGUUAUUCUCACAAGCUCGUCCCAGCUCAAUUUGGGCGGAUUCUAGCUUAUGGAGCUAGAAUGCAAUUUAUUAAGUUUGCAUUUAGAUGAUGGAAUAAAUAAGUUGCUGAUUAGUUAAUUAAAUAAGUUAAUUAAUUUGUUUAAAAAUUUGGACAUUUUUAUUUUAAUGUGUCUUAGUUUAUUACCUAUUAAAUAGAUGUCUAAUAGUUAAUUAAGUGUGUCUAAAUUUAAGACAAAUUUAAUUCAUGUUGUCAAUUAAUUUUUCCAGACGAAUUUAAUGUGCAGGAUAUUGUGUACUUUGGACGAAUUUAAUGCUGUUAAUUAAUGUGUUUUGCUGCUGUUGUUUAAUGCUGCUGUUGUUUAAAUGCAGAAUGUUAAACAUGUCAUGGUUCAGCCGAAUUAAUGUGUGAGAUUUAAGCUAAGUAAAUUUGUUGAAUUUGCUAGGACAAUGUACAUGGACGGCAAAGAAGAGGUGGACAACAUCAUGCAUAAUUUGUGGAACAAAUUAAGGAAGCAUUUGACCAACAUCAUGCAUAAUUCAUGGAAGAAUUUGAAGAAGCAUUUGACCAACAUCAUGCAUAAUUCAUGGAAGAAUUUGAGGAAGCAUUUGGCCAACAUCAUGCAUAAUUCAUGGAAGAAUUUGAGGAAGCAUUUGACCAACAUCAUGCAUAAUUCAUGGAAGAAUUUAAGGAAGCAUUUGGCCAACAUCAUGCAUAAUUUAAGGAACAAAUUGAGGAAGCACCAUGGCCAGAUUUGGCUUCCAAUUUUACCCAUUCGGCUACCCUUUUGUUUUGCCUAUAAAUAUGUGUUAAAUUUCAUUGUAAGGGGAGAAGAACCUUGAAUUAAUGUUUUUACAUUUUGUGAGAUUGUUUACAACUCUCAUUGUUCUCCAAAGACUCGUUUGACUUAUCAAGUAACCCUUGUGGCGUCAACCCAUUCUUCUUAUCCGAACUUAUCACUUUGCAUCCAAAGUGUGGCGUUCAAGUUAUACCGAGGUUCCUAUCAUCUUUGAUAGUGGGUCAAGGUUCCAUUUUAUUCGUUUUCCAUCCAUACAACAUUUAACCUUUCCUAAGUAUUCGUAUAAGUCCCGGGUUAACACACUUAUAUUGUGUUGGUUCAACUUGAAUACUUGGUUUUCAUUCACCUAUCAUCCUCAAUACACUUCAUAACCCCUUUUGAACUAAAUUUGAGCAUUUAUCCCUUCUUUCUUAACCUAUCUUCGACAAACCUUGAUAUUACUCCAAUUCACGAUCGGGUACAUCAACGACUCGACUCUCAUCACCGAGGCCGGGGCGUAUCAGUUAGAAUCCUUAAUAAGUAUAUUUUUAUAAGAAACAAACGAAAACAUCAUCCAAAUUCUUUACAAUGAGAUAAUUAAUUUUUAGUGAAGAGUGGUCGGAACUGUCAGACAGCGAAACAGGGGAAACUUUAAAGAAUAAACUGUACUAUUUGGCUGAACCAAAAAUUCUGAAACUUUUAUGAUAUGAAGAUAUGUGAGUCUAGUUUCAGGAAAAAUUAACGGAUCUUAAUCCAAAGCUCUGUAGCUCCGGAUAAAAAUAAUUUAGUGACUCUGACUCGGAUAAAUAGUUUUGAAUGUACAUGUUAGUGAAUACUGAAAUUAUGGUUAAUGUUGUUUAAGUGUGUUAUACACAUUAAGGAUGUGGAAUGGAGAGGAGGAGGAGGAAAAUUGGGAAAUAUAUGAAUGAUUCGUGUAUAAAUGGUCAUAUGUUUGAUUAUAACUGAUAAACGAUGAAAUAUGAAUGAUGCUUAUAUUUGUGCAUUAUUGGUCAUGUUUAAGCUCAUGUGUGAAAAUAAGGUUUCACAGUAUAUGUAUGGUAUAUUCAGUAUAUGAUUUGGCAUGAAAUAAUAUCAUGAAUGGUUUAUGAAUUAACACAUGUUGGUGAGCCUUAUAUAUGAAUAAAUGAUCAAAUUGAGCGGAACGCCGGAUUUGAGUACUUCUGAUCAAGUGACAAAGUGAUAAGUGAUAGCUUCGGCUAUACUUAUCUGAUCAAGUGACAAAGUGAUAAGUGAUAGCUUCAGCUACACUUAUCUGAUCAAGUGACAAGUGGAAAGUGAUAAGUGAUAGCUUCGGUUACACUUAUCUGAUCAAGUGACAAGUGAAAAGUGAAAAGUGAUAGCUUCGGCUAUACUUAUCUGAUCAAGAGACAAAGUGAUAAGUGAUAGCUUUUGCUACACUUAUCUGAUCAAGAGACAAAGUGAUAAGUGGCUACACUUAUCUGAUCAAGAAACAAAGUGAUAAGUGGCUACACUUAUCUGAUCAGGGACAAGUGAUAAGUGAUCAUAUGUAAGACCAUAGUUAUACUAUGGCAAAGUGAAAGUGAAGUACUCAAUUUUCCGUAACCGUUCCCUAAUUUGAUUAAGGAUGGUAAGUGACAAAUGGGCCCAAAAGAAUUAAAGCAAUUGGAUAAGUGGUAGUGUAUUUAUACCAGGAUGAUGUUGUUAUUUAAGCUAAAGUGAUAUCUUCAUUGCAAAAUUGAGAAUUUCAUAAAUGUGUUAGUGAAUGGUAUAAUCGAUAAACGUUGAGUUAAAUGGUAAAUACGUAUUAGUGUUAAACUUAGUGACAUUGAAUUGUACGUGAAUUAAAUGGAAAUUGCUAGUGAUAUGAUCUAAAUUGUAAGCAUGAGAAAUUGCGAAUUGAAUGAAAUGGAAAUGAAGCAUUGAAUUGUAUGAGUAUGUGACGGGUCUCGUAGGCCCUAAUUAUUAUGAUUAUAAUAUUUCGAGGAUAUAUUGUGAAAAGUUAUAGAAGCAUGUUAAUUAUUUUGAAAGUUUUUAUUUAGAUGAAAUUUUAUAACUCGGUUAAAUACGCUUACAAGUGUAUGUGUUUUGGUGAUACCUCGUACCCUAUUCCGGUGUUGGAUACAGGUAAGGGGUGUUACAGUGCCAAUGAACCGUCAAACUCUACCAACAAUUAAAUUAAAAGAAGUAUAGUACCCAAAUUUGAUUUCUAUCACAACACACAAAAGCUGUGCGUAAAAAAUUAACUAAUCGACAAAGAAAAUUAUUCAACCUUGUGGUAGCCACUUCAAACAAAGACAAUUACCCAUAUUCCUUCCUAAUAUUUAAAUAAAAUGAUAAUACGCUUUAGUCACUUUACUCGCAAUAAUACUGAUAUUUAUUAAGUUAAGAAUAAAUUUUAAUUUUUUAGUAUAGAAAUAAAAUAUAAUUUGAUUUCUAGUAAAUUACAUUCUAAUACUUUCACCCAAAAUUUACCCAAACAGAUCCUUCGAGAUUGUCAUUAGGGACUCAAAGGGAAAGGUUUUGGCGUCGAGGAUUGUUCUAAACGAGAGGGUACCUUCGAUUUUUACAACAGAGACCCUUGCAUGUGUCCAAGGGCUUCAAUUGGGGUUGGAUUUAGAAAUCAUGAUUGUAGAGGUAGAAGGAGAUAUUUUAUCAGUUAUUAAAAAUGUACAAAAGAAAAGGGAUGAUAUAUCAGAGAUUUGUGCUCUCAUUAAAGACUGACAAUGGCUGAGUAAGGGAUUCCAGAUCUGCAAUUUCAAACAUGUUCAAAGAAUGAAGAACAAAGAACGAAGUUGGCUACAAAAGGUUUAGGAAAUGGGGAACAAAGAGAUAUGAAUAAAGGAGCCCUGAUUACGUAGAGGAGCUAGUGGAAAUAGAUCGACAAAGCAGUGUGCAAGUUUGAUAUGUGUGGUGUCGAUUUACAUUUUGGAAAGUUGAAGAAUGGAAAAAAUGAAAGAGGAUCUAGAAGAUGAAAAGUUUUUUUGAAGGAUUGAAAGGUGUGAUAAUUAAUGGAAGAAUUACUACAUUGUUUAAGAACAAACUGUAAAUGGAUUAUGAGUCUAUAUAUACUCAUAUUUCACAUUUCACAUAGUUUAAAAAAAUAAGGGAAAUGAGAUUUGGGGUCUAUAUAAAUACAUAUUCUGUAAAUCUUAUUUCAUAUUAAUAUGUGGUACCAAAAAAUAAAAAAAUUUCUUGGUGUUGCCACUUUUAGUGUUGGUAUAGCAAAAACCACUUUCACCUAAAAGCAUUUUCAACAUGUAUUGGUAAUUUAAUCUCUUGCAUAGGCCUAUUUUUUAUUUGUAUUUUUUUUAUUUGCCAAAUUAAAAGUGAUGUUUCAUUAUGUUUGUUAUAUGAGUCAUAAAUUAGAUGUGAUGUUUCACUAUGUUUUUAUAUUAGUCCAGAAAAUAAGCUUGUUUUUUUGUAAAAAAAGUAUAAAUCAAAAAGUAGGAGUCAAAAAGUCUUUUUAGAGGUUAAUAAUAAAUUUCAGUUAAUUUAUAUAUAAUAAUAAUAAUAAUAAUAAUAAUAAAGGGCUAGUUUGGGGACCAGGAACAGCGUCCUGCAGAGCAAAUUAAUGAACAUUUUGGAUGCACUCUUAGAAUAUAAAACCAUGGACCCUCCCACAUGUCAUCCACUUUAUUUAGGUUGGUAUUCUAUUAGUAAAUUUUAUUUUUGGUUAUUCAGUUAUAAAAAGUUAUAAAAUUUUUACUUGAUUAUGUUUUUUGACCACCAACUAUUAAAUAGUUAACGGAAAAAAAUGACGUAACAAUUUUUAAAUUUGUUAUAAUAAUAACUUUAAUCUCAAUAUUUCUAUAUUGUUUUAAUUUAAUCUUUAUUUAAAAAAUUAAUCAUCAACAUUUAUACAUUAUGUAAUUUAGUUAGAUCAAGCUAAGUCAUGUAGAUAUCGUCCAAAAAAUAGUUAACACUUUUAAGCUCGACAUAUUUAGGGUUUUCAAGCUCUCAAAUCUGUUUCAGUCCAAGAUUCUGGGGAAUAAAUCAAUUAGUUAACUUGGAGUAGACACAUAUUCAAUUCAAUAGACAAUUCUCAACUAAUUCCUAAAUGAAAUGAUGUUUAAUAUCAAUAUGUUUGAUUCUUAAGUAGCAUUUUUUUUAAAGGAAAAGUCAUUACUUUAUACCUUAAUUUAAAGUGAUGUUUUUCUUUGACGUGAUGAUGAUUUGUAGAUGAAAAUUUGACUUAUAAGCAUAAAUUACUUUUAUCUAUUUAUUUAAUAUUUCACUAUCCAUUUUUUUUAUUCUUUUGAUUAUCUUAAAAAUGUUAUUUUAUUAUUUUAGAUUAAUCUAUUUUUAUUAUAAAUUAGAUCAAUCAUCUUUUAAUCUAGGAAUAUAUUUUUAUAAACUGUAAACAUAAUAUUUAAUAAAUAAAAAAAUAAACAUAUAAGAUCACAAUCAUCGUAACAUUUGGAAUCAAUUUAUUAUAAAUAGAGUAAAUGGUUAUUGGAGAAUUGAUUGACUUAAUUUUUUAACAUUCAUUAUUUUAAUCGAAACUUAAAUUGAAGGGACGAAAUCAAAUUAACAUACUAGAACAACCCCUAAUAAAUCAACUUCAACAAGAAAACGAAAUGUAAAGAAGUGAUCUAUGAUUUCAACCAUUGAACAAAGUUCUUGAAUACCUUAUCAGAACUUCCACCAUCACCUACACUUUUGGUAACCAUUUGCUUCAGUUCAAUAGCUCUUGUUUUGAACUUUUCAUCACCAACCAAUUGUUCCACUUUGCUUUUAAUUUCUUCUUUUCUAAUGAUACCUCCUUCAUCCUUUUGGAGUUUUAAUCCAAGCUUCCAAAUAUCAGAAAUGUAGCUUUCAUUCAGGAACUGAUCAGCAAAGUAAGGCCAACACAAGAAAGGCACCCCAUUGCUUACACCUUCCAUGGUGGAAUUCCACCCACAGUGACUUAUAAAGCAUGCAAUGGAAGAAUGACCCAAAACUGCUGCUUGUGGUGCCCAACUUACUAUCCUACAUUGAUUGCCAACUCUUUCAUUAAACCCUUUAGGGUAGUUAUGGUGUUUUCCUUUUGUAAUAUCUUCUCUUACAACCCAAAGGAAUGGUCUUUCGGUGAUUUCAAGGCCCAAAGCUAACUCUUGAAACUGGAUUUGGUCAAAAACUGUGAAACUACCAAAUGCGACAUAUAUGACUGAACCAGGUGACUGUUGAUCGAGCCACUGCAAACAAGUUGGAUCCUCGAGCCAAAAAUUUCCCGACAAGUUUCCGAGCCGAUUGGUGGCUAAAAAUGGGCCUAUGGGUAAGGCUCUGGGAACUAAGUUGAACCCUUGAAGCUCUAAUUCCAAACUUGAGUUGCAAAGUACCCAAUCUGUUGUUUCAACAACUUUGUUGUUCCUAAGUAGAAAAUCAAACAUGAUUUUUUGGGUUGAAGGAGAGUCAUCAAGGUUAAGCCAUAUCAAAUUCAUUGGGUGUAUAGAAGGCGUCAUUGGUGACAACUGAAUCAUCUUAUGUUUCAUGAGUGGAGUGCCUGCAAAACAGAUUUAAAUAAUUGAAGAUAACGUUGUUGAAAGUGUUUUCUAAGCUAUAAGUAAUGUUAAACUGACAGUUUCAGAAGUAAGAAAAUGCUUUUGAAUCCUUGGAAAAAACAUAUUUAAAGUCAAGUGACAUUUUUAACCAUUAUUUAUUAUUUAAUGUGUUUUAUGUACUAAUUAUAUUGGAUAUACAAUUAUUUUUCUAUUGAAAUUUAUUUUAAAUAUAUACUAUUAUAUAGUUAAUUUUUUUAUAGUUAUAUUUUAAUGAUAUUUAAAAUAUAGAUUAUAUACUUAAAUUAAAUUUUAUAAAUAAUUAAUAUUAAUUGCUUACAAAUAUUUAAAAUUUAUAUUGCAUAUAUCAAAAUAUUAAUAAUGAGUUAUGAUAAAAAAAUUAUAUUUUUUAUUUUAAUAUCAUAAUAAUAACGAGUUUUAAUAUUAUUCAAAUGCAUAUUUUUAUUUCACAAUAUCAUGUUUAAAAUAAAUAUAUUAUUUCUUAAAAAUAUUUGUUAUUAAUAAUAAUAAACACUUAAAUUAAUGGUUUAAAAAUAUUUUUAGUUCAAAAGUUAUGAGAAAAUAGCCUAAGUCGAAUCAAAUUAGAUAUCAAACGAGAAAAAAAACUUAUAUUUUCCCUUAUUCAUAGGUACUGCACUGGUAAGUAGUUAAAGCAAGACAUGGUACGUCUUACCAUUUUCAUCUAUCAGUCCAUCAUCGAUAAGUUUGGGGACCCUAAGCAACACCGCCAGUUGAAGCACCGCAGCCGACCACAAGCCCACUGUAGGAAUCCCCAACUCCGCUGCAACAUCAAGAGCCAACCCCAUGCUAAUAUCAGCUAAAACACAUGAAAUCUUAUCAUCAUCUGAUCCAUUAACCUUAUGAAUGAGCUCCUUGAGUUGAGUAGGCAUAACCUGGCAUAAACUUUCAGUUAAUUUCCCUAACUGAUUCCUAUCUUCCCCAUCUUCCAGUCCAUCGGGGACUGAAAGUAGAUGAAGUAAGCCAUUUUUAUCCACCUUCUCGCCGAAUGCAUCCAGGACCCUCUUGUGAUUAAACACCGUGUUAACAAAGCUGAUUUUGAUGCCUUGUUUGGCUAAGUUUUGGGAGAGUUCCAUGAGAGGAAUAACAUGGCCUUGUGUUGGAUAAGGGAUUACUACAAUGUGUGGUUUCCCCAUUUUCGUUUGUGCUUCUGGAAAAUUGAGGGCUUACACUUUGAUUAUUUAUAGCAACCAUUUCGGGCCAAUAUACGUUUCCAAUGCCACCCCUCUUCUAAAGAAAAUAAUAAUAUAAUAAUAAUAUGGUGUCAUGUGAUUUAAUUAUGGUGCAUCUUCUGUCUUGUUAUAUAGUUGGAUUUUUCAUUCUCCCACUACAACAAAAUCAAGCUUACGAUCAUACAUUUUUUUUUACUUAGUACGCAUUACUAAUAGCUACUAAAAAUGAUUUUAAUUGUAUUUUUUUAAUUUUUUGGUCAUUGACCUUUAUUUUUUUAAUCUGUUUUUUAACAGUUUUAAUGAAAGUACAAUUAAAAUAAUUAACGGGAAUGAUGUGAAAUUUCAUAUGUGAAAUAUUUUUAAUGAGAUAUGAUUUAUUACUUAGAUAAUUCAAUAAGAUAAUUGCAUGUGAAAAAAAUAAUAAAAUAAAUAAAUAAUACAUUAAAUUAAAAAAUAACUCUUAAUUUAAAGAAAAUAACGUAAUUAUCUAAAGAAAUGUAACUCAGUAGAAAAUUUUCUCAAUAAACAAACAUAUGAAAGAUUGAAACCUUAAAUUUAUUCAUUAAAUCUCGUGAAUUAAUUAAUUAAAUAUGUUAAAAUGUAGUUGAAAAUAAAUUAAAGGUUGAUGGAACAAAAAACUCAAAAAUACAAUUAGGGCCAUUUUGACAAAACAUAUAAAUAUUAGUGAUCAAAUUUAUCAUUAAGCCUUACUCAUAUAACGUGCCAUACAUAUAUUUAACAUAUAUUGUAUUAUAUUAUAGUAUAAAAAUUAAUAAAUCUUCGAAUUAUUUAUAUAUGUAACAUAUAUUAUAAUAUGAAUUGUUAAUAUGAAACUACCUUACACAUGAUUUGCUUUGUUAUAUUAUAUAAUGAUAUAUUAUAUUACGAAGAAUAAAAAUUACAUUAUAUUUAUUACUUAUAAUUAAUUAUAUGCAUAUAAAUACUAUAAGCAUGAUAACAUAAUAUGAAUUAUUAAUACUUUGACUUUAUUAUAAUUAUAUUCAUUUAAUUAUUAGUGUGUUUUUUUUGUUACUUAACUAUGAAAAGUUACAAAAUAGUUACUCAAUUUCAACUUUUUUUCUUUUUUGGGCACCCAAUUUUUAAUUGAAAAUUUCUUUUAUGAUCACCAGCCAUUAAAUUACUAACCGAAAAAUAACUUAGCAGUUUUUAAAAUUGGCAUAAUAGUAACAUUAACCUUAACAUUUACACCUUGUGUUAAUUUAGUCUUGAUUCUAAAAAAAAAAAACAAAUUAACCCUCGACAUUUGCACAUCGUAUAAAUUGGUAUUUUUUUUUAAAUUUUACUUUUUAUUUAUAAUGUUGAUGGUUAAUUUUAAAAGAAUAAGAAAAGUUAGAAAUGAUUAUGUUGAAUUUUCGAAUGUUUCCUUUUUGAUAUAUUUCCUAUCAAAUUUACUUGAUAGAUUUGUCUUUUCUUUUAGCUCUUUAGGUGGAAGGGCAACAAAAAAAAAGGCAACAAAAAAAGAGAGGAGAGAUCAAAUUACACAAUAUGUAAAUUUUAAGGGUUAAUCUUUUUUAGAAUGAAGACUAAAUUGGCACAAGUUAUAAAUGUUGAAGGUUAAAGCUAUUAUUAUGUCAAUUUUAAAAGUUAUCACGUUAAUUUUCUAUCAAUCAUUUACGGUUGGUGACCAAAAAGGAAAAAUUCGAAUAGUUAAGUGAUAAUUUUGUAACAUUUCUCUCAUAGUUAAGUGCCAAAAAAAACUUAUUAAUAGUCAGUGGCGGAUCUUUGGACUAAGUUUUGAGGCUAUUAAAAAUUUCAAAAAUUUUAAUGAGAUUUAAAAAAAAAUUAACAGUCUAAUUAAAAUUUUGAAACUUUUUGUGAAAUUAAUGAGAAUUUUUAAAUGUUUUAAGUGGGCUUUUUUAAUUAAAUUUCAAAAAAAAAUAAUGAGAAUUUUUUAAAAUUUGGGGAGCUUACUUUUUUUUUUUUUACUUUAAAAGAGAAAUAAAAUUUUAAAAAAUAAAUAAUAAUUUCUCAAAAUUUUAAUAGUGCCAGUGAACCAUCAAACUCUGCCAACCAUUAAAUUAAAAGAAGAAUAGUACCCAAAUUUGAUUUCUAUCACAGCACACAAAAGUUGUGCAUAAAAAAUUAACUAAUCGACAAAGAAAAUUAUUCAACCUUGUGGUAGCCACUUCAAACAAAGACAAUUACCCAUAUUCCUUCCUAAUAUUUAAAUAAAAGAAUAAUAUGCUUUAGUCACUCCACUGACAAUAGUACUAAUAUUAAUUAAGUUAAGAAUAAAUUUUAAUUUUUUAGUAUAGAAAUAAAAUAUAAUUUGAUUUCUAAUAAAUUACAUUCUAAUACUUUCACCCAAAAUUUACCCAAACAGAUCCUUCGAGAUUGUCAUUAGGGACAAAAAAGGGAAAGGUUUUGGUGUCGAGGAUUGUUCUAAACGUGAGGGUACCUUCGAUUUUUGCAACAGAGACCCUUGCAUGUGUCCAAGGGCUUCAAUUGGGGUUGGUUUUGGAAAUCAUGAUUGUAGAGGUAGAAGGAGAUGUUUUAUCAGUAAUAAAAAAUGUACAAAAGAAAAGGGAUGAUAUAUCGGAGAUGUGUGCUCUCAUUAAAGACUGUCAAUGGCUAAGUAAGGGAUUCCAGAUCUGAAAUUUCAAACAUGGCCAAAGAAUGAAGAAGAAAGAACGAAGUCGGCUACAAAAGGUCUAGGAAAUGGGGAACAAAGAGUUAUGAACAGAGGAGCCCUGAUUACGUCGAGGAGCUAGUGGAAAGAGAUCAACAAAGCAGUGCGCAAGUUUGAUAUGUGUGGUGUUGAUUUACAUUUUGGAAAGUUGAAGAAUGGAAAAAAUGAAAGAGGAUCUGGAAGAUGAAAAGUUUUUUUAAAGGAUUGAAAGGUGUGAUAAUUAAUGGAAGAAUUACUACAUUGUUUAAGAACAAACUGUAAAUAGAUUAUGAGUCUAUAUAUACUCAUAUUUCACAUCUCACAUCGUUUAAAAAAAAUAAGGAAAAUGAGAUUUGGGGUCUAUAUAAAUACAUGUUUUGUAAAUCUUAUUUUCAUGUUAAUAUGUGGUACCAAAAAAUAAAAAAAUUUCUUGGUGUUGCCACUUUUAGUGUUGGUAUAGCAAAAACCACUUUCACCUAAAAGCAUUUUCGACAUGUACUGGUAAUUUAAUCUCUUGAAUAGGCCUAGUUUUUAUUUGUAUUUUUUUAUUUGCCAAAUUAGAUGUGAUGUUUCAUUAUGUUUGUUAUAUGAGUCAUAAAUUAGAUGUGAUCUUUCACUAUAUUUUUAUAUUAGUCGAGUCAAAAAGUCUUUUUAGAGGUUAAUAAUAAAUUUCAGUUAAUUUAUAUAAAAUAAUAAUAAUAAUAAAGGGCUAGUUUGGGGACCAGGAAUAGCGUCCUGCAGAGCAAAUUAAUGAACAUUUUGGACGCACUCUUAGAAUAUAAAACCAUGGACCCUCCCACAUGUCAUCCACUUUAUUUAGGUUGGUAUUCAAUUAUUAGUAAGUUUUAUUUUUGGUUAUUCAGUUAUAAAAUUUUUACUUGAUUAUGUUUUUUGACAACCAACUAUUAAAUAGUUAACGGAAAAAAAUGACGUAACAACUUUUAAAUUUGGUAUAACAAUAUCUUUAACUUCAAUAUUUUUAUAUUGUUUUAAUUUAAUCUUUAUUUAAAAAAUUAAUCAUCAACAUUUAUACAUUAUGUAAUUUAGUUAGAUCAAGCUAAGUCAUGUAGAUAUCAUCCAAAACAUAGUUAAUACUUUUAAGCUCGACAUAUUUAGGGUUUUCAAGCUCUCAAAUCUGUUUCAGUCCAAGAUUCUGGGGAAUAAAUCAAUUAGUUAACUUGGAGUAAACACAUAUUCAAUUCAAUAGACAAUUCUCAACUAAUUCCCAAAUGAAAUGAUGUUUAAUAUCAAUAUGUUUGAUUCUUAAGUGACAUUUUUUUUAAAGUAAAAGUCGUUACUUUAUACCUUAAUUUAAAGUGAUGUUUUUCUUUGACGUGAUGAUGAUUUGUAGAUGAAAAUUUGACUUAUAAGCAUAAAUUACUUUUAUCUAUUUAUUUAAUAUUUCACUAUCCAUUUUUUUAUUCUUUUCAUUAUCUUAAAAAUGUUAUUUUAUUAUUUUAGAUUAAUCUAUUUUUAUUAUAAAUUAGAUCAAUCAUCUUUUAAUCUGGGAAUAUAUUUUUAUAAACUGUAAACAUAAUAUUUAAUAAAUAAAAAAAUAAACAUAUAAGAUCACAAUCAUCGUAACAUUUGGAAUCAAUUUAUUAUAAAUAGAGUAAAUGGUUAUUGGAGAAUUGAUUGACUUAAUUUUUUAACAUUCAUUAUUUUAAUCGAAACUUAAAUUGAAGGGACGAAAUCAAAUUAACAUACUAGAACAACCCCUAAUAAAUCAACUUCAACAAGAAAACGAAAUGUAAAGAAGUGAUCUAUAAUUUCAACCAUUGAACAAAGUUCUUGAAUACCUUAUCAGAACUUCCACCAUCACCUACACUUUUGGUAACCAUUUGCUUCAGUUCAAUAGCUCUUGUUUUGAAAUUUUCUUCACCAACCAAUUGUUCCACUUUGCUUUUAAUUUCUUCUUUUCUAAUGAUACCUCCUUCAUCCUUUUGGAGUUUUAAUCCAAGCUUCCAAAUAUCAGAAAUGUAGCUUUCAUUCAGGAACUGAUCAGCAAAGUAAGGCCAACACAAGAAAGGCACCCCAUUGCUUACACCUUCCAUGGUGGAAUUCCACCCACAGUGACUUAUAAAGCAUGCAAUGGAAGAAUGACCCAAAACUGCUGCUUGUGGUGCCCAACUUACUAUCCUACAUUGAUUGCCAACUCUUUCAUUAAACCCUUUAGGGUAGUUAUGGUGUUUUCCUUUUGUAAUAUCUUCUCUUACAACCCAAAGGAAUGGUCUUUCGGUGAUUUCAAGGCCCAAAGCUAACUCUUGAAACUGGAUUUGGUCAAAAACUGUGAAACUACCAAAUGCGACAUAUAUGACUGAACCAGGUGACUGUUGAUCGAGCCACUGCAAACAAGUUGGAUCCUCAAGCCAAAAAUUCCCCGACAAGUUUCCGAGCCGAUUGGUGGCUAAAAAUGGGCCUAUGGGUAAGGCUUUGGGAACUAAGUUGAACCCUUGAAGCUCUAAUUCCAAACUUGAGUUGCAAAGUACCCAGUCUGUUGUUUCAACAACUUUGUACUUCCUAAGUUGAAAAUCAAACAUAAAUUUUGGGGUUGAAGGAGAGUCAUCAAUGUUAAGCCAUACCAAAUUCAUUGGGUGUAUAGAA